This 393-nucleotide ribosomal RNA is filed under the name uncultured bacterium. RNAcentral's name for it is "bacterial SSU rRNA". It matches the Rfam family "Bacterial small subunit ribosomal RNA", at positions 96 to 524 of the family's 1533-position model. The record is from RNAcentral.
CGGCGGACGGGUGAGUAAUGCGUGGGAAUAUGCCCUUUGGUACGGAAUAGCCCCUGGAAACGGGGAGUAAUACCGUAUGUGCCCUACGGGGGAAAGAUUUAUCGCCAAAGGAUUAGCCCAUGUUGGAUUAGCUAGUUGGUGAGGUAAGAGCUCACCAAGGCGACGAUCUAUAGCUGGUUUGAGAGGAUGAUCAGCCACACUGGGACUGAGACACGGCCCAGACUCCUACGGGAGGCAGCAGUGGGGAAUAUUAGACAAUGGGCGCAAGCCUGAUCUAGCCAUGCCGCGUGAGUGAAGAACGCCCUAGGGUUGUAAAGCUCUUUCAGAUGUGAGGAUGAUGACAGUAACAUCAGAAGAAGCCCCGGCUAACUUCGUGCCAGCAGCCGCGGUAAU